RNAcentral lists this ribosomal RNA (624 nucleotides) under uncultured marine eukaryote. RNAcentral's name for it is "SSU rRNA". It matches the Rfam family "Eukaryotic small subunit ribosomal RNA", at positions 612 to 1237 of the family's 1831-position model. The record is from RNAcentral.
GUUGUGGUUAAAAAGCUCGUAGUUGGAUCUCAACAGCCUUGGAGCGGUUAACUUUGUAGUUUUACUGCUUUAUAGGCUGUGCUUUUGCUGGAGGUUUAGGGGUGCUCUUGAUCGAGUGUCUCUGGAUGCCAGCAGGUUUACUUUGAAAAAAUUAGAGUGCUCAAAGCAGGCUAAAAUGCCUGAAUAUUCGUGCAUGGAAUAAUAGAAUAGGAUGUCGAUCCUAUUUUGUUGGUUUUCGGGACUCGACAUAAUGAUAAAUAGGGACAGUCGGGGGCAUUUGUAUUCAAACGACAGAGGUGAAAUUCUUGGACCGUUUGAAGACAAACUACUGCGAAAGCAUUUGCCAAGAAUGUUUUCAUUAAUCAAGAACGAAAGUUAGAGGUUCGAAGGCGAUUAGAUACCGCCCUAGUUCUAACCAUAAACGAUGCCAGCUAGCGAUCUGCCUGCGUUUUUACUGUAGACUGGGCAGGAAGCUUCCGGGAAACCAAAGCAUUUGGGUUCCAGGGGAAGUAUGGUUGCAAAGCUGAGACUUAAAGGAAUUGACGGAAGGGCACCACCAGGAGUGGAGCCUGUGGCUUAAUUUGACUCAACACGGGAAAUCUCACCAGGCCCGGACACUGGAAG